GGCAUGCCUUACACAUGCAAGUCGAACGGCAGCACGGGAGCAAUCCUGGUGGCGAGUGGCGAACGGGUGAGUAACACAUCGGAACGUGCCCAAUCGUGGGGGAUAACGUAGCGAAAGCUACGCUAAUACCGCAUACGAUCUACGGAUGAAAGCGGGGGAUCGCAAGACCUCGCGCGAAUGGAGCGGCCGAUGGCAGAUUAGGUAGUUGGUGGGGUAAAGGCUCACCAAGCCGACGAUCUGUAGCUGGUCUGAGAGGACGACCAGCCACACUGGAACUGAGACACGGUCCAGACUCCUACGGGAGGCAGCAGUGGGGAAUUUUGGACAAUGGGCGCAAGCCUGAUCCAGCAAUGCCGCGUGCAGGAUGAAGGCCUUCGGGUUGUAAACUGCUUUUGUACGGAACGAAACGGUCCUUUCUAAUACAAGGGGCUAAUGACGGUACCGUAAGAAUAAGCACCGGCUAACUACGUGCCAGCAGCCGCGGUAAUACGUAGGGUGCGAGCGUUAAUCGGAAUUACUGGGCGUAAAGCGUGCGCAGGCGGUGAUGUAAGACAAUUGUGAAAUCCCCGGGCUCAACCUGGGAACUGCAUCUGUGACUGCAUCGCUAGAGUACGGUAGAG
This 620-nucleotide ribosomal RNA is filed under the name uncultured bacterium. Its description in RNAcentral is "bacterial SSU rRNA". It matches the Rfam family "Bacterial small subunit ribosomal RNA", at positions 41 to 656 of the family's 1533-position model. The record is from RNAcentral.